RNAcentral lists this ribosomal RNA (485 nucleotides) under uncultured Thermomicrobia bacterium. Its description in RNAcentral is "bacterial SSU rRNA". It matches the Rfam family "Bacterial small subunit ribosomal RNA", at positions 8 to 507 of the family's 1533-position model. The record is from RNAcentral. Lineage: Bacteria; Pseudomonadati; Thermomicrobiota; Thermomicrobia.
AGAGUUUUGAUCCUGGCUCAGGAUCAACGCUGGCGGCGUGCCUAAUGCAUGCAAGUCGGACGGGGCGUCCUUUCGGGGGGCGUCACGUGGCGGACGGGUGAGGAACGCGUGGGGAACCUGCCCUGGGGUGGGGGAUAGCCGCCGGAAACGGCGGGUAAGACCGCAUGUGCUUGCCCCUCAGUUGGGGGGGUAAGGAAAACCCUUCGGGGUGCCCUUGGAGGGUCCUGCGGCCGAUUAGCUUGUUGGUGGGGUAAUGGCUCACCAAGGCGGUGAUCGGUAGCUGGUCUGAGAGGACGGCCAGCCACACGGGGACUGAGACACGGCCCCGACUCCUACGGGAGGCAGCAGCAAGGAAUUUUCCCCAAUGGGCGCAAGCCUGGGGGAGCAACGCCGCGUGGGGGAGGACGCCCUUCGGGGUGUAAACCCCUUUUCUCGGGGACGAACGACUGACGGUACCCGAGGAAGAAGGCCCGGCUAACUACGUG